GACGAACGCUGGCGGCGUGCUUAACACAUGCAAGUCGAACGGAAAGGCCCUGCUUUUGUGGGGUGCUCGAGUGGCGAACGGGUGAGUAACACGUGAGUAACCUGCCCUUGACUUUGGGAUAACUUAGGGAACCUGGGCCAAAUACCGGUUGGAACCUCCUCCUCACGGUGGGGGUUUGGAAGGUUCCGGCGGUUGGGGAUGGCCUCCCGGUUUAUCAGCUUGUUGGUGGGGUGGUGGCUUACCAAGGUUUUGACGGGUAGCCGGCCUGAGAGGGUGACCGGCCACAUUGGGACUGAGAUACGGCCCAGACUCCUACGGGAGGCAGCAGUGGGGAAUAUUGCACAAUGGGCGGAAGCCUGAUGCAGCAACGCCGCGUGCGGGAUGACGGCCUUCGGGUUGUAAACCGCUUUCGCCUGUGACGAAGCGUGAGUGACGGUAAUGGGUAAAGAAGCACCGGCUAACUACGUG
RNAcentral lists this ribosomal RNA (468 nucleotides) under uncultured bacterium. RNAcentral describes it as "partial 16S ribosomal RNA". It matches the Rfam family "Bacterial small subunit ribosomal RNA", at positions 28 to 507 of the family's 1533-position model. The record is from RNAcentral.